Molecule: ribosomal RNA, 273 nt
Filed under: uncultured bacterium
Lineage: Bacteria
Description: partial 16S ribosomal RNA
Rfam family: Bacterial small subunit ribosomal RNA
Source: RNAcentral
CACGUACUGUGCGAACGUUAUUCGGAAUCACUGGGCUUAAAGGGUACGUAGGCGGUUUAUCAAGUCAGAUGUGAAAUGCCACAGCUCAACUGUGGCACUGCGUUUGAAACUGAUAGACUAGAGUAUUCCAGGGGUGUGCGGAACUGCCAGUGGAGCGGUGAAAUGCGUUGAUAUUGGCAGGAACACCGGAGGCGAAGGCGGCACACUGGGGGAUAACUGACGCUGAGGUACGAAAGCCAGGGGUAGCGAACGGAUUAGAUACCCCGGUAGUCC